AUCGUUUCUCGGCCUUUUGGCCCAGAUCAAGUGUAGUGCCUGUUCUUAUCAGCUUUGAAAUAGCCAAAGGCUGCAGAAGACAGAACACGUAGCAAUUUUA
RNAcentral lists this small nuclear RNA (100 nucleotides) under Alligator mississippiensis (American alligator). RNAcentral's name for it is "U2 spliceosomal RNA". It matches the Rfam family "U2 spliceosomal RNA". Rfam says of the family: U2 is a small nuclear RNA (snRNA) component of the spliceosome (involved in pre-mRNA splicing). Lineage: Eukaryota; Metazoa; Chordata; Crocodylia; Alligatoridae. The record is from Rfam by way of RNAcentral.